This is a long non-coding RNA of Panicum virgatum (switchgrass), 671 nucleotides long. RefSeq lists it as uncharacterized. The transcript has 2 exons. The record is from RefSeq and is a predicted model, not a curated record. Lineage: Eukaryota; Viridiplantae; Streptophyta; Magnoliopsida; Poales; Poaceae.
GGUCCUUCGUUGGGCCCACGUCACGCCGCGCACCCCCUCGCGGCUCCUAGACGCGGAAGCACCGCCUCCCACCCGCUGUCUCUUUCGUUCGCCUUUUUCUCCACGGAGGCGCCGGAGGAGGGCGGGGAGAGCUGGGCUUCAGUGGAGUUGAAAGCUACGGUGGACGAGGAGGAGGUCCAGCGCCGGUAAGUCGGCCGGCGGGGGGCGAGGCGCGGCUCCCAACUCCCGUCGGAGCACGGAGCACCGCCCCUCGCCUGCACUGCCUCCGCGGUGAGUUCCAGAUAUGGGCUUCAGUGGGGAAAAGAGCUAGGAGGGGAAAUGAGCUGGGCCUCCGGGCGGAGCAGCGCCCGCCCUCUGCGCCCUGUGUUCUCCUGCUGUUCACUGUCUCUCUGUGUUGUUCCAGUCAAGUUCGUCCUCCUGGUAUAGCUGAUAUAUGUUCCUUGUUUGUUAGUUUUGUUCGAUGCUUGUGCUUUUGUGCCAGAAUGUUCAGAGAUUUUAGAUAGCUGGGCUCAUGUUUUACUGGUACAGAGCAGGGCAUAGGUUGGAAUGGUUCAUGUACAUCUGAAAUAUCGGAUUGUGCUGUGUAAAGACCAGAUUUAUUUUCAGUGAAAUGUAAUAUAGACCUUCAGGUAUUAUUGUGUGCUGGUACAAAGCAGCACAGCUUCGUGCUA